Molecule: ribosomal RNA, 1061 nt
Filed under: Latilactobacillus sakei
Lineage: Bacteria; Bacillati; Bacillota; Bacilli; Lactobacillales; Lactobacillaceae
Description: bacterial SSU rRNA
Rfam family: Bacterial small subunit ribosomal RNA
Source: RNAcentral
GGUCGGGAACGCACUCUCGUUUAGAUUGAAGGAGCUUGCUCCUGAUUGAUAAACAUUUGAGUGAGUGGCGGACGGGUGAGUAACACGUGGGUAACCUGCCCUAAAGUGGGGGAUAACAUUUGGAAACAGAUGCUAAUACCGCAUAAAACCUAACACCGCAUGGUGUAGGGUUGAAAGAUGGUUUCGGCUAUCACUUUAGGAUGGACCCGCGGUGCAUUAGUUAGUUGGUGAGGUAAAGGCUCACCAAGACCGUGAUGCAUAGCCGACCUGAGAGGGUAAUCGGCCACACUGGGACUGAGACACGGCCCAGACUCCUACGGGAGGCAGCAGUAGGGAAUCUUCCACAAUGGACGAAAGUCUGAUGGAGCAACGCCGCGUGAGUGAAGAAGGUUUUCGGAUCGUAAAACUCUGUUGUUGGAGAAGAAUGUAUCUGAUAGUAACUGAUCAGGUAGUGACGGUAUCCAACCAGAAAGCCACGGCUAACUACGUGCCAGCAGCCGCGGUAAUACGUAGGUGGCAAGCGUUGUCCGGAUUUAUUGGGCGUAAAGCGAGCGCAGGCGGUUUCUUAAGUCUGAUGUGAAAGCCUUCGGCUCAACCGAAGAAGUGCAUCGGAAACUGGGAAACUUGAGUGCAGAAGAGGACAGUGGAACUCCAUGUGUAGCGGUGAAAUGCGUAGAUAUAUGGAAGAACACCAGUGGCGAAGGCGGCUGUCUGGUCUGUAACUGACGCUGAGGCUCGAAAGCAUGGGUAGCAAACAGGAUUAGAUACCCUGGUAGUCCAUGCCGUAAACGAUGAGUGCUAGGUGUUGGAGGGUUUCCGCCCUUCAGUGCCGCAGCUAACGCAUUAAGCACUCCGCCUGGGGAGUACGACCGCAAGGUUGAAACUCAAAGGAAUUGACGGGGGCCCGCACAAGCGGUGGAGCAUGUGGUUUAAUUCGAAGCAACGCGAAGAACCUUACCAGGUCUUGACAUCCUUUGACCACUCUAGAGAUAGAGCUUUCCCUUCGGGGACAAAGUGACAGGUGGUGCAUGGUUGUCGUCAGCUCGUGUCCUGAGAUGUUG